CGGGAGGCAGCAGUGGGGAAUAUUGGGCAAUGGGCGAAAGCCUGACCCAGCGACGCCGCGUGAAGGAAGAAGGUCUUCGGAUUGUAAACUUUUGUCAGCAGGGAAGAAGAAAGUGACGGUACCUGCUAAGAAAGCCACGGCUAACUACGUGCCAGCAGCCGCGGUAAUACGUAGGUGGCGAGCGUUAUCCGGAUUUACUGGGUGUAAAGGGUGUGUAGGCGGACUGACAAGUCAGGUGUGAAAUCCAUCGGCUUAACCGAUGGACUGCACUUGAAACUGCCAGCCUUGAGGGACGGAGAGGUAAGUGGAAUUCCCAGUGUAGCGGUGAAAUGCGUAGAUAUUAGGAGGAACACCAGUGGCGAAGGCGGCUUACUGGACUGUAACUGACACUGAGGCACGAAAGCGUGGGGAGCAAACAGGAUUAGAUACCCUGGUA
RNAcentral lists this ribosomal RNA (436 nucleotides) under uncultured Oscillospiraceae bacterium. RNAcentral describes it as "partial 16S ribosomal RNA". It matches the Rfam family "Bacterial small subunit ribosomal RNA", at positions 342 to 792 of the family's 1533-position model. Lineage: Bacteria; Bacillati; Bacillota; Clostridia; Eubacteriales; Oscillospiraceae. The record is from RNAcentral.